Molecule: long non-coding RNA, 1309 nt
Filed under: Oreochromis niloticus (Nile tilapia)
Lineage: Eukaryota; Metazoa; Chordata; Actinopteri; Cichliformes; Cichlidae
Description: lncRNA (ENSONIG00000027675.1)
Source: RNAcentral
CAUGGUGUUACCUAAGCCUACCUAGAUACAACAUCAGUAUCUGACCAAAUGUAUUUGAGGCCCAUCCCUUUCUUCAUCUUUUUCCCUGAUGGGUGGUAUAAAAGAAUAGUCAACACAGCAUGUCAAUAAAAGGGAAUGGCAAAGCAAUAAAAUGCCACAACUAGGCUCAGAAAAACCAUAAAGCUGUCAUGUGUUCAUCUUUACAAACCAAUUUGGUCCUGGUCAUUUUACUGUAUUCCUACUUCACUUAUACCGUAUCCUCUUCUCUGUUUCCCUCCUCGUGUCAGCUGCAGGGACAGUUUCAUCUAAAUGGAAUGAACAAGGUUGGAGAUAUCAUUCUGGGGGGACUGUUUCCAGUUCACUUUUUCUCAAGUGUUCCUCAUCCAUCUUUUACCUCAGAGCCACAACAGCCUACUUGCCAUAGGUGAGUUAUUUUGCCACAUGUUCUUGUUUGAGUGACCAUCGAAAAUAUCCAUCCUUCUUUAGGACAAUCCCAAGUGAUGCUUUCCAGGUAAAAUUCAAUCAGCAGAAUUAUUACAAUUGCCAGUAGAUGAUAAGUAGCUAAUCCAUUGAAAGUUUUCUUAUUAUCUAUGCUCUCAUGUUUUCUCAUGUUUCUCAUUUUGCUUUCACUUAGGUUCGUGCUAUAAUUAAAAUUUUAAAACAUUUCGACUGGACUUGGGCAGGUCUGCUUAUCAGUGAUGAUGAUUAUGGACUCCACGCUGCCAGAUCCUUACAAUUCGAGCUAAGUUUGUCUGGUGAAGGUUGCCUAGACUACAUUGAAGUUUUGCCUUGGGACAAAGACACAGAUGAGCUCAGGAGGAUUGUGAAUGUGAUGAAAAAAUCAACAGCUCGUGUGGUCAUUGCCUUUGUACAUGAGAGUCACAUGAUAAACCUUAUAGAAGAGGUAAAGUUUAAAAAAAAAACUUGAUUAUUUCUUGCUAUAAAGAUCUGUAUCUAUACACUGUGUAAAAGAUGUAUUAUGUCUUUAAUUGAAUGACUACAGAAACGUAAAGAAACCAUUUAUACCAAAUAGCAAUUUAUAGCAAAUACCUAAGUUGAAUGUCACAAAAGUAGGUGAUAGUUUCAUCACUUUUUGCAUUUGGUAAAAUAUAAUGCACAGGUAGUGAAGGAGAAUGUAACAGGUCUACAGUGGAUUGCCAGUGAAGGCUGGACAGCAACUGCUGGUGUGCUCCUAACACCUCAGUUCAUGCCAUACCUGGGUGGUACACUGGGCAUUGCUAUUCGUCGAGGAGAAAUACCAGGGCUCAGGGAUUUCCUAUUACAAAUACGUCCUGACCUACAUCACAAC